Molecule: ribosomal RNA, 406 nt
Filed under: uncultured bacterium
Lineage: Bacteria
Description: bacterial SSU rRNA
Rfam family: Bacterial small subunit ribosomal RNA
Source: RNAcentral
GUUUGAUCCUGGCUCAGAUUGAACGCUGGCGGCAUGCCUUACACAUGCAAGUCGAACGGUAACGGGCCUUCGGGUGCCGACGAGUGGCGAACGGGUGAGUAAUGUAUCGGAACGUACCUUUCAGUGGGGGAUAACGUAGCGAAAGUUACGCUAAUACCGCAUAUUCUGUGCGCAGGAAAGCAGGGGAUCGCAAGACCUUGCGCUGAUUGAGCGGCCGAUAUCAGAUUAGCUAGUUGGUGAGGUAAAAGGCUCACCAAGGCGACGAUCUGUAGCGGGUCUGAGAGGAUGAUCCGCCACACUGGAACUGAGACACGGUCCAGACUCCUACGGGAGGCAGCAGUGGGGAAUUUUGGACAAUGGGGGCAACCCUGAUCCAGCCAUGCCGCGUGAGUGAAGAAGGCCUCGG